GGAAAGUUUGUCGGAGGGAAACAUGACUUAUUGAGGAACGUUAAUCCGGAACAAAUCUUGGGCAGAAGCGGAACUUAGACCAGGACGCACAGUUACCAUGGCAAUGAGGCGCGCCCGAAGGGCGGUGGCAGCGACGCAGAGAGACCUGGGAGGAGACAGAGGCAGGGCUUGCGACGGAAGUGGCCUCUCUGCUUCUGCAGGGCUGGGGAAGAUGCUGCGUCCGGCGUUACCGUGGCUGUGCUUUGGCCUCUGCAGCUUCCUGGUCGGGGAUGCAGAGGCCCCGAGCCCCGUGGAUCCGCUGGAGCGGAGCCGGCCGUACGCGGUGCUGCGCGGGCAGAACCUGGAGACAACUGGAGAGAGGAUCUGUUUACAGCUGUUUGCACAGCACCUGACAUAGUGCGUGGCAGCAAGUGGCAUUUGAUAAAUCAUUGGCAGUGAGUGGAUGAAUUGCCUAACCUGGAGCUGCCAUUAGGAAGUAACCUGUUUUCCCUUUGCAGUGUUGAUGGGAACCAUUUUCAGCAUCCUGCUGGUGACUGUCAUCCUUAUGGCAUUUUGUGUCUACAAGCCCAUUCGGCGUCGGUGACAGCCAGACAAGUUCUUCAAUGAGUAUUUGGGAAUAGGAUAAGUUGUGUUGCACACGGGUCAGUGGAGAAGUUGGAAUCAAAACUUUCCUACUUGGAAAUGACCUUUGGUCUGGACAGUUGGUAAACGCUAAAUGAAUUAGAAGAAAACAUCUACUAGAAAUUAUUUUUUCCUAACACUGUAGUGCAAAUAAUUGGCCCCGAAUCUGCUUCUCAGUGUUUCUGACUGUACUUGUUAAAAGUAAGACCUGAAAGCUCCAAAGGUCAGUGUAAAGAUGGAGUGUUCAUGAGAAAGAAAACAUUCACCUUGUGAGUGCCUGUAAGAACCACACUGGAAAGAACUCAUCAUUAAUGCUUGAAAAUGUUAACAGAGGGAGACUUACCAUGUAGACAUUCCCUAUUUAAGAACCAUUUGGUUACAGUGGGUUAAGAAUCACAGAAUUUUUUUUUUUUUUUUUUUAAUCUCACUUGAGUUGGCCUAGAAUGCGCUGGUUGCAAAGUGGUGUCAGCUGUGGGGAACUUGGGCCCUCAUUCCUUACCUGCAUCCGGCCCUGCACUCAGGUGCUCCCCCUGAAAUCAGGGUCACAUCAGGUAGUACCUGUUACUACAUGCACCUUUGGCCUGGAAGGCUCUGGGGUUGGACUGGAAAUGUUACUAGGUUGGCCUCUCACAAAAAAGGACCCCAUCCUGCUUAAACACAUUGAUCUCCGUUGCCCUGCAUUUGAGUCUGUAUAGCCCACGGUCUGAAACUUGAGGUAGCUUUCCAGAUUUGGAAUGUAAAAGGCUCAGCAGGCGCUCUGUUCAUCCCUGGGUGGGGAGGGCCCAGCCAGAAGUGCAUGUCCACUGUGCCCGCCAGUGUGUGUUUACACAAAUUUCAUCUCCGCUUUGAAAAUGCUGCUAUUAGUUUGCACUGUUGGUGAACUGGAUUUUUUCCUCCUAUUGAAAUAAUACUUUCAUACUUAUAAAGCGGUCGUCAAUAUUUAUUUCAAGGUGCUAGAUUUAAUUUUGUUAUUAAAUUGAAAUGCUUAUCUUGUGUUCAAGCACAGCACUGAUUUUAACAACCUGCAUUUAAUGUGAAAUAACUGAAGCAGGAUACUAUAACUGUUUAACUUAGGGAUUUUGUUUGUAAUCUUGUAACAUUGAGCCAUUGAAAUGUUCACUGUUCUGUGCUUUUGAGCAAAAUGUCAAUUAAAAUUAAAGUAAAAUCCUAUAUAU
Molecule: non-coding RNA, 1796 nt
Organism: Macaca mulatta (Rhesus monkey)
Lineage: Eukaryota; Metazoa; Chordata; Mammalia; Primates; Cercopithecidae
Source: RefSeq, a predicted model, not a curated record